Trifolium pratense (red clover) is the source of this 581-nucleotide long non-coding RNA. RefSeq lists it as uncharacterized. The record is from RefSeq and is a predicted model, not a curated record. Lineage: Eukaryota; Viridiplantae; Streptophyta; Magnoliopsida; Fabales; Fabaceae. The transcript has 4 exons.
UUCGUUUUAGAAUCUCUUUUUCCUCUAAAUCAUAGAGUUGGUGUUGUGAAGAGUUGCAUUUAGUGAGUGAGUUCAAUUUAUUGUUCCUCUGAUUCAAUGUGUCCUCCCUUCCUUUCCUCUUUCCAAUCAGUCUGAUCUGCUAUGUGAUAUCUCUCAAGUGGGGGUCAGGGGAAGAAUGGAAGUGUACGAGCCUAUUGUUCAAGUUUUGAGACUAGUUGAUGGUGACGAGAAACCAACAAUGAGUUUCCUAUAUAAAGCCAUUGAUCGAGCAAAACAGACAAUUCAACAAAAUUCUCGUUAUCAUUGCACCUAUAAUGAUAUAAUUGACAAGCGUUGGAAAUUCAUGCAUUCUUAUCUUCAUUCUGCUGGUUAUUUUCUUAAUCCACAAUUUCAAUAUGGAGUUGAACAUGAAGAUGAUGUCUAUAAGGAAACAUUUGAAGGGACGGCUAGAGUGAUAACAAAAUUAGUAAGAAGUAUAGAUGAUUAAAUCAAAGCUCUGAAUCAGUUGACUCUUUACAGAGAAAAGAGUGAUUCAUUUGGUAUACGUCUGGCUCAAGAUUCUUGGUCAAAGAUGAGGGCAG